GAUGAACGCUGGCGGCGUGCCUAAUACAUGCAAGUCGAGCGAACAGAUGAGGAGCUUGCUCCUCUGACGUUAGCGGCGGACGGGUGAGUAACACGUGGAUAACCUACCUAUAAGACUGGGAUAACUUCGGGAAACCGGAGCUAAUACCGGAUAAUAUAUUGGACCGCAUGGUUCAAUAGUGAAAGACGGUUUUGCUGUCACUUAUAGAUGGAUCCGCGCCGCAUUAGCUAGUUGGUAAGGUAACGGCUUACCAAGGCAACGAUGCGUAGCCGACCUGAGAGGGUGAUCGGCCACACUGGAACUGAGACACGGUCCAGACUCCUACGGGAGGCAGCAGUAGGGAAUCUUCCGCAAUGGGCGAAAGCCUGACGGAGCAGCGCCGCGUGAGUGAUGAAGGUCUUCGGAUCGUAAAACUCUGUUAUUAGGGAAGAACAAAUGUGUAAGUAACUAUGCACGUCUUGACGGUACCUAAUCAGAAAGCCACGGCUAACUACGUG
RNAcentral lists this ribosomal RNA (497 nucleotides) under uncultured bacterium. RNAcentral's name for it is "partial 16S ribosomal RNA". It matches the Rfam family "Bacterial small subunit ribosomal RNA", at positions 28 to 507 of the family's 1533-position model. The record is from RNAcentral.